GCCCCGUGCAGUGGGCUGAGGCCCGGAUGCUUGUUUCCACGCCUGCUCCAGCCUUGGGCCCUGAUGGGGUUGGGGGCGGGGUAGAGGCCGAGGAUCUCUCCCUUAGGGAUCAGCCAGGUGAUCCCAGAGGCGGGCAAGUCAGCUUAUCUUUAAGCAAACCGCGGGCGCUAGAAUGCAGGAAAGUGGGGGGUCAUCCCCUUGGCAAACAAGGAACCGGGCUGAGACGGGUGGGAACCCAAGCAAGGUCACGCAGCCGCCAGGGAGCAGGACUGGGCCUUGCCCCACAGUUUGAAACCUAUGGUUUUCAUUCGGCCGCGCACCUGGGGUGGGGCCGAGGCCCUGCGGCCCACUAUGUUCUGGGCAUCUGGGGACUGACCUCUGUUGACAUGUUUCUGCCUGCAGGUGGCUCGAGAGCUGGAGGAGCCAGUGGGGUGGCAGGAGGGGCAGCAGCCAGAGGCAAGCGGGAAACCGGGAACUGUGGGCCUGAGAGCUGGAGUCCAGUGCCUGGCCUGCGUCAGCCAGCUGUGGGGCCCCGGACAAACUGCGGAGGGUGUCUGAGCCUGUUUCUUCAUCUGUGAAACGGCUGCGGAGUCUAGGUAUGUCCCGAAUAUUCCACGAGUACGCCCAUACAACGGGAUAGUUGGCCAUAAGAAAGAAUGAAGUGCUGAGACACGCUACAGCCUGCGUACGCCUUGAAAACACUCGAGGCGAGCGCAGCUGGUCAUAAAAGAUCAUGUACCGUGGAUCCCAUUUACGUGGAAUGUCCCGGACAGAUAAGAACCGCCCUCCUCCGCGAUCCACACCCACGCCCGAGAACCACCGCUGACCGCGAAACGCCACUCUCUAGAAGACCACCCCGGCUCCGUGACUGGGACACUCCGUGGCCCUUUCCGCUAGUCUGAGAGGG
Long non-coding RNA from Nyctereutes procyonoides (raccoon dog), 907 nucleotides. RefSeq lists it as uncharacterized. The record is from RefSeq and is a predicted model, not a curated record. The transcript has 3 exons. NCBI's taxonomy places the organism in Eukaryota, Metazoa, Chordata, Mammalia, Carnivora, Canidae.